Cinara cedri is the source of this 277-nucleotide non-coding RNA. The record is from the annotation of a GenBank genome assembly. Lineage: Eukaryota; Metazoa; Arthropoda; Insecta; Hemiptera; Aphididae.
CGUAAUGGGACGCCUGUAAGUUUACCGUUCCGUUAUCUACAUUCCAUUUAUCGCAGUUAAUUCAUUUUCGUGUGCAUGUCGUCAUUGGCCGGCGGCCAAUCUUAAGGGCUCAACUCCAACUGGUAAAAUUAAAAAUAACCUAUCCAGAAAACACGUUUUUGACAAAAAUUGGACCACCAUCGGGAAGAAAACUCAUUUGUCAUCCAAGCCUUCUAGUCCAAUCUCCCCAAAUUUACAACACAUUUUAGACAAUAAUCCACACAUUAAUCGUUUCCAG